Molecule: ribosomal RNA, 517 nt
Filed under: uncultured bacterium
Lineage: Bacteria
Description: bacterial SSU rRNA
Rfam family: Bacterial small subunit ribosomal RNA
Source: RNAcentral
GACGAACGCUGGCGGCGUGCCUAAUACAUGCAAGUCGAGCGAACCAAUAAGAAGCUUGCUUUUUGUUGGUUAGCGGCGGACGGGUGAGUAACACGUGGGUAACCUGCCUGUAAGACCGGGAUAACUCCGGGAAACCGGUGCUAAUACCGGAUAGAUUAUCUUUCCGCCUGGAGAGAUAAGGAAAGAUGGCUUUUGCCAUCACUUACAGAUGGGCCCGCGGCGCAUUAGCUAGUUGGUGAGGUAACGGCUCACCAAGGCGACGAUGCGUAGCCGACCUGAGAGGGUGAUCGGCCACACUGGGACUGAGACACGGCCCAGACUCCUACGGGAGGCAGCAGUAGGGAAUCUUCCGCAAUGGACGAAAGUCUGACGGAGCAACGCCGCGUGAGUGAAGAAGGUCUUCGGAUCGUAAAGCUCUGUUGUUAGGGAAGAACAAGUAUCGGAGGAAAUGCCGGUACCUUGACGGUACCUGACGAGAAAGCCACGGCUAACUACGUGCCAGCCGCCGCCGUAACAC